Molecule: ribosomal RNA, 481 nt
Filed under: uncultured bacterium
Lineage: Bacteria
Description: bacterial SSU rRNA
Rfam family: Bacterial small subunit ribosomal RNA
Source: RNAcentral
AUUGAACGCUGGCGGCAUGCCUAACACAUGCAAGUCGAACGGCAGCACAGCAGUAGCAAUACUGUGGGUGGCGAGUGGCGGACGGGUGAGGAAUACGUCGGAAUCUGCCCAGUCGUGGGGGAUAACUAGCCGAAAGGUUAGCUAAUACCGCAUACGACCGAGAGGUGAAAGCGGGGGACCGCAAGGCCUCGCGCGAUUGGAUGAGCCGACGUCGGAUUAGCUAGUUGGCGGGGUAAAGGCCCACCAAGGCGACGAUCCGUAGCUGGUCUGAGAGGAUGAUCAGCCACACUGGAACUGAGACACGGUCCAGACUCCUACGGGAGGCAGCAGUGGGGAAUAUUGGACAAUGGGCGCAAGCCUGAUCCAGCAAUGCCGCGUGUGUGAAGAAGGCCUUCGGUGUAAGCACUUUAUCUAGACGAAAGACGUUGGAUUAAUAACUCUGACGUGCUGACGGUACCUGAGGAAUAAGCACCGGCUAACU